This 730-nucleotide ribosomal RNA is filed under the name uncultured bacterium. Its description in RNAcentral is "bacterial SSU rRNA". It matches the Rfam family "Bacterial small subunit ribosomal RNA", at positions 771 to 1501 of the family's 1533-position model. The record is from RNAcentral.
AACAUGAUUAGAUACCCUGGUAGUCCACGCUGUAAACGAUGUCGACUUGGAGGUUGUGCCCUUGAGGCGUGGCUUCCGGAGCUAACGCGUUAAGUCGACCGCCUGGGGAGUACGGCCGCAAGGUUAAAACUCAAAUGAAUUGACGGGGGCCCGCACAAGCGGUGGAGCAUGUGGUUUAAUUCGAUGCAACGCGAAGAACCUUACCUACUCUUGACAUCCAGAGAAUUUGCUAGAGAUAGCUUAGUGCCUUCGGGAACUCUGAGACAGGUGCUGCAUGGCUGUCGUCAGCUCGUGUUGUGAAAUGUUGGGUUAAGUCCCGCAACGAGCGCAACCCUUAUCCUUUGUUGCCAGCGAGUAAUGUCGGGAACUCAAAGGAGACUGCCGUGAUAAACCGGAGGAAGGUGGGGAUGACGUCAAGUCAUCAUGGCCCUUACGAGUAGGGCUACACACGUGCUACAAUGGCAUAUACAAAGAGAAGCGAACUCGCGAGAGCAAGCGGACCUCAUAAAGUAUGUCGUAGUCCGGAUUGGAGUCUGCAACUCGACUCCAUGAAGUCGGAAUCGCUAGUAAUCGUAGAUCAGAAUGCUACGGUGAAUACGUUCCCGGGCCUUGUACACACCGCCCGUCACACCAUGGGAGUGGGUUGCAAAAGAAGUAGGUAGCUUAACCUUCGGGAGGGCGCUUACCACUUUGUGAUUCAUGACUGGGGUGAAGUCGUAACAAGGUAACC